GAUGAACGCUGGCGGCGUGCCUAAUACAUGCAAGUCGAGCGAACAGACGAGGAGCUUGCUCCUCUGACGUUAGCGGCGGACGGGUGAGUAACACGUGGAUAACCUACCUAUAAGACUGGGAUAACUUCGGGAAACCGGAGCUAAUACCGGAUAAUAUAUUGAACCGCAUGGUUCAAUAGUGAAAGACGGUUUUGCUGUCACUUAUAGAUGGAUCCGCGCUGCAUUAGCUAGUUGGUAAGGUAACGGCUUACCAAGGCAACGAUGCGUAGCCGACCUGAGAGGGUGAUCGGCCACCCUGGAACUGAGACACGGUCCAGACUCCUACGGGAGGCAGCAGUAGGGAAUCUUCCGCAAUGGGCGAAAGCCUGACGGAGCAAAGCCGCGUGAGUGAUGAAGGUCUUCGGAUCGUAAAACUCUGUUAUUAGGGAAGAACAAAUGUGUAAGUAACUAUGCACGUCUUGACGGUACCUAAUCAGAAAGCCACGGCUAACUACGUG
This 497-nucleotide ribosomal RNA is filed under the name uncultured bacterium. Its description in RNAcentral is "partial 16S ribosomal RNA". It matches the Rfam family "Bacterial small subunit ribosomal RNA", at positions 28 to 507 of the family's 1533-position model. The record is from RNAcentral.